Molecule: long non-coding RNA, 372 nt
Filed under: Mus caroli (Ryukyu mouse)
Lineage: Eukaryota; Metazoa; Chordata; Mammalia; Rodentia; Muridae
Description: lncRNA (MGP_CAROLIEiJ_G0005743.1)
Source: RNAcentral
CUUACCAGGUGGUGGAAGUUCCUGUUUGGUUUGACUAUAAGAACUAUAUGUCUAUGAUACGCACUGCAAGAAUCUUCCUAUUCACAGUUGUGGAGUUUGAUAAUCCGUGCUUCGUGCUCUUCCAAUCUUCCCAAUGAAGUUCCUGUUAUUCCUUGUGUUGAUUUGUGUCUCUACUAUCCUGGUCUUUUGUUUUCCCUCUGGAAGGAAAUCAGUUGCUGAAAGCAACUAUGUGGCUGAAGAACAACUCAUUAGGCCUGUGAAAGGCACAGGAUCUUCUCAGGAACCAGAAGACUCACAAGAAAGUUCUGUGGACUGUGGUGGCAAUGUGUUUGAGAGUGCUGAGAUGUUACUCUGGGGGAAUCAUAGAUUGUU